RNAcentral lists this ribosomal RNA (253 nucleotides) under uncultured bacterium. RNAcentral describes it as "partial 16S ribosomal RNA". It matches the Rfam family "Bacterial small subunit ribosomal RNA", at positions 524 to 776 of the family's 1533-position model. The record is from RNAcentral.
UACGUAGGUGGCAAGCGUUGUCCGGAAUUAUUGGGCGUAAAGCGCGCGCAGGUGGUUUCUUAAGUCUGAUGUGAAAGCCCACGGCUCAACCGUGGAGGGUCAUUGGAAACUGGGGAACUUGAGUGCAGAAGAGGAAAGUGGAAUUCCAAGUGUAGCGGUGAAAUGCGUAGAGAUUUGGAGGAACACCAGUGGCGAAGGCGACUUUCUGGUCUGUAACUGACACUGAGGCGCGAAAGCGUGGGGAGCAAACAGG